This is a long non-coding RNA of Myzus persicae (green peach aphid), 278 nucleotides long. RefSeq lists it as uncharacterized. The transcript is spliced from 2 exons. Lineage: Eukaryota; Metazoa; Arthropoda; Insecta; Hemiptera; Aphididae. The record is from RefSeq and is a predicted model, not a curated record.
AGUUUAAACAAAAACAAGUUUUCCUUAAUAUUUCUAUAGAUACAAUAUUGGUGUUUGGAGCAGUGAUAAUGAUCGAUUCUUAUACCAAGAAAACAGAUUCUAAGACACGUAAAAUAAUGACUGUUGGUGGUUUAGCAUUGGUUGUAUUUUUAUUCAGCGUUAUUCUAUCUAUAUUUAAAUCAAAAGCACAUGGAUAUCCUUAUAGCUUUCUGAUCAAGUAAUGGAUUUUUGAAUGAGCAUCUACUUAAUUUUUUUUUUUUAUUAUUUAUCAAAAAUUG